This is a long non-coding RNA of Apis cerana (Asiatic honeybee), 5068 nucleotides long. RefSeq lists it as uncharacterized. The record is from RefSeq and is a predicted model, not a curated record. NCBI's taxonomy places the organism in Eukaryota, Metazoa, Arthropoda, Insecta, Hymenoptera, Apidae.
UUUAACAAUUCGAGAAAUUUAAAGAAAUUUAAAGUAAUUUUUUUUUAUUGUAUUUAAGACAAACAAAUUACAAUAUUUUUAAAUUUUUAAUAAAUUUAUAUCGAUUCUCUAACUUCAUCUGAAAUUUCCAACGUGUCUCGAGAAAAAUAAAAAAGACCCUAGAUACUAGUAAAAAAGACCGCGCAUUGUCACUAUUCACCAAGUCUAUCGUCUAGGAUCUCAAAUAUUUCAACACACUUUUAAAAAAUAAAAAAGAACCCUAGAUAGAAAAUUUUUACCAAGGAAAGUAAUAUACAUGGAUAAAAAUUAUCGGCCAGAUUAGACGUUUCUCGCGCAAAGGUCGUUCGUCUCCCGUCUCAUUUGAGCUGGCCUGUGCCCCCCUCCUCAUCGUUCUCCCUCAGUCAUCGUCUAGCCGCGUUUGCACGGUAGCCAUUUGCAAGAUUACGAGCGCUGCCGCUAGGGCGCUCAUUAACGAGCGAACGAAAGAAGAGAUUAUCAACUGACUAAGCGUAACUAACAACAACGAGCUACGUCCAAUUUGAGAAACGGCUAAUUAUAUGGCCGCGGGUACCUACCAUUCGCUUCGUGGCGCGAGCUACUUUUUUUUUUCGCGACCACCGACGACUAAUUACUCGAAACGACUUCGAUCGCCACCGUUGUGACACCAUUGCCCAACACACGCCAAGAUUAAUCGCGAUACGUUGUGCCCUACAGCAAAAUUAAUUGCAUCGAGUGCGUUUCCUCCUCGGGCUAAGCAUCGAGUGCCCAAAAACGACCAAUCCUUUCGAUAACCAAAAAAGAAGUAAAAAGAUAAAGAAGAGGAAGAUAUAACAGAAUAGUAGUCGAAUAUGAAUAUUCAUGGAUGGAUACAAGUAUUUCCACAGAUACAAAGUGUUAAUAUAUAACUUCUAAGAGUUCAAUUUGCCAUUAGAUGGAUCGAAAAAUAGUGUACUAUUAUGAGUUUUCUCAGUCAAUCGUCUAACAAUUUGUCGUCAAUGUACAAUGUACCAUGGUGCGUCACAUCCUUUAGGGAGAAAAGAUUCGUAAGUGAUGGUGUAGUUGUUACUUAAUGGUGGGACAAGUUUCCUCUAUGCACGAGAAAUAGGGGGAAGAAAUAAGGGUGGCGAGGCAGCAGAAUGAUCGGUAUGGUGUUCGCAUCAAUAUGAAACGAUCACGCGGGGGGGGAUUCGUGCUGAGACGAUAUUUAUAUCUGACAUUUUGUCGGCCCCUGUAACAUCGAGCACGUCUAAUAAUUACAAUACACAAGCGAAGAGAGGGCUUUGGAAUUAUCAUCGAAACUGUUCCUGUGAAACAACUGGAAACGAGACUUUGUGUAACUUUGUGAUCCAAAUUAAUUAAUAGAGGUCCAAAAGUUGAAGAAAAUUCAAUCGAAUAUACAAAAUUCUGUGAUUAUAUUUUUAACAUGACGAUUGAAAUAUUUUGUUGAUAGAACGAAAUUCAACAAUUGAAUCGCAUUAUAUCUAAUUUCUAUCUAAAAGAUUAUUUACAAAAAAUCAAUUUUUGAGUUAUAUCAUUGCAGUGAAUAAGCGACACGUUUGAUAAUAAUAAAAAUUGCAUUACACGCUCCUAGAUGGAUCAGAUUAAUCAUUGAUUGAUAUCUUGCAAACUAUAAUAGAUACAAAUACGCCUUAUGAAAUUAAAUGGAUAACUCUAAGACCAGGUUGUCGACUAUCAGAAAAAUUCUAAUUUUAGUCGCAGCUGAUAUAUCAAGCGGAGAAUUCAUCGCGAGAGGUGUAUGUGGAACGAGGUAGGAAAGUUUUAAUCGGCACCGUGGAUCGCGAUUUUCACCCCUUGGCGAAUCACGCAGCCACGAAAAUCGUUACGAAUAAAUAAUCGUUACUCGGCCGUGACGUUAACGACCGGCUGAUUAUCAAUUUCCAUUAUUGCGUUUAACGUUGGAAUAUACAUUAAUACGUCGAAAAAAAAAAAAAGAAAAGAAAAAAACAUGGUUAAUAUGGAGGCGUGGCUGAACUGGAAGGCUUAACGAAUAUUAAAUAUCACGGCCCUGUCAAAAAACAUUUGCCGCGCAUUACGUCUAAUGCCAUAUAGUGUGGCCACGUAAUUCGAAAUCCACCCUCGUCCAUAUCGUGAAAAUUAAUAUUGGAUCGUCUUUCCUUUCGUUUCAAUAUUUUCAAUUUCAAAAUUUAAUCACGCUCUAAUCAUUAUAAUCUAAUUCUUUUCUCAAUCGAGAAGCUGGCGAAUCUUAAUUAGAUUUGAACGUACUUUAAAACUCUGUCUUCUAUUUUUUUUUUUUUUUUAUAAUCUAUAUAUAACUUGUUUGUUUUCAAGCACCAUCAAUUGACAAAUUUCCCAGAAAGAUUCCCGCGAAAAAACUAUAUUGUAAACACUCGAUACAAACACUCCCUCUUCCUCUCUCUUUCUCUCUCCACAAUUCAAUUCUUGCCGCUCCCCUUUUCAAACACCCCUUCAAAUCUCGAUCAUCCACGUACAUGCAUGAUCCAAAAACAUGUAACAGGGAUUGAACGAAGAUCCUCGGACAGUUGAAACGUCUGGCCACAUUCCUGGACGAUGAUUUUCGUGCCUGCACAUGGCGAGCCCGAGGGUCUAGGACCCCUAGCAAGAGAGAAGGACGGGAGGGAGGGAGGGAGGGGGGUUAGAUUUGAUUCGUAGGGGGAUAGAAACAGAUCGGGUACGGUCGGUGCGCCUCGACGGAACGCCAUGGAAGGGAGAUGGUCGGCGUGCAACACCGUACCAAAGCAAUAUCCAUAGGAAACACCCCGUUGUCAGAGGGAGAGACGAAGAGACGCGCGAUCAAUCACGAGGGACCCUGCUGCCACGUUCGUGGCCCUCGUAUCAAACGUAACGCACGUUGGAAUUCAGCGAUGCGCCGUUUUUGUUAAUCAAAUUUUCCCGCCGUUUCUCGCGGGAAACGUUGAAUGCGCCUCCAUUUUGAAUCUCGAGAUCGUGCGUCGAACGUUCGUGGUUUGAGGUUAUCUUUGGAGAAUUGAGAUUCUGAAGAGUACAAAAGUUGACGCAGGCGACAAUAAAAUAAUUGUUCUUCCCGAAAUCUCCUUCAAUUACGGCCACGGAGCGCAGGAGUGGUGCCUUGUAACUGUCGAGAGCGUUUAACAAGGGCCACGUGUGUAAGACAAUUCACGAUGGUUGUUACGGCUCGGGAUUCCCUGUGUGUUGGAACGGUGAACGACAAACAACAGGAUCCAGGUUGCCUCUGUUUCUGCCCACGCAACGGCCAACAAACGUCAGAACGAAAAGAAGCCAAAUGGACUCUUUGACAUCCAAGUUCCAGAGCAACGAAACAAGGAACCAAACAGUCAUCAAAGUGAAAUGCCAGUUGUCCAACGACUCGCCAAAGGCUGAUUAAUGUACACGGAAGAAAGAGAAGAAGAACGAGAGAAUAAAAUAAGAAAGAGGAUGGCUAAGUCUCUUUCAGAUGUUUAAUGUAUUAAACAAAUUUAAUAGGAUGUUUCACGUGAUAUAUUAUAGAAACUUUAAGAGGAUCUUUAAGAUAAUAUGAUACACAAAUAGGAUCUUUCAGACGAACCCAUAAGAAUUCAAAUAACCCGCAAAUUCGUAAGGCAUUUUAUACAAUGUAUACUCAAUAGAGAGCCUUUCGCCAUAUCCAUUGUACAAACAGGAUAAUACGAAUAUUACUGUAUGAAACAGGCUCGAGAGAAGCAGUACGAUAAACAAAAGAAACGUAACAAGGAAAAAAGAAAAGGAAAUAUUCUUCUUAAUCUGGUCAUAAAUCCAGCGUAAUCCAAAUUCGCCUGGCGGAGUUGUUGCGCUCUCGUGCGAUUAAAUAUUAACAACGGGAGGCCGAUUGCGUAAUUAAAAGGGUAUUCGUGCUAUUACGGCCCAAGUCGCGGAAACGAGCGUGCAAACCGAGCUGCAAACAGGAUCCGUGGUAACUUCCUUAUCUGGCUUUUCGAUUUUCCCUAACUUUGAAAUCCAACUAAAGGGACCAAGUUUGGUCGCAACUUUCCACGCCGCCGCCAUUUUGCCGUCGAUACGCGGAAUCGAGCGUUAUUUCACUUUAAACCCUUGAAAAUGGGCCUCAGCAGGAAAGACAAGGAGAAUUUUUUUGAAUCAAAGAAAAAUUAAAGAAUUAAUUAAGGAAUGAUAAGAUUAUAUUGUUAUUACAAUGCCAUAUUGUACAGAAUUAUCAAUGCAAGUUACGUUGAAAUAGAUAAAAGUUAUCGACUAAAUGACAGCAAUCUGAAAAAUAAGGAGUAUUAAACUAAUUAUUCUGUUCAUUAAUUAUUUAAUUUGUUGUCACGUAAAAAAAAAAUUAUUGAAGCUAUUGUUUCAAUUAUUCUUCCAAUCUUAAAAUGAAAAUUGAAGUCGAAUUAAUCAUGCCAAAGAAUGAAAUAAUGAUCGAUUGUUAUAUCCUCCUGAAAGAAUAAAAAUUCUCGUGAUUCAAUUAUUUCUCGACGACACGACGAUUAUCAAAUAGUAAUUAUCGUGAGAAAAAGGAAUACGAUGAUAUUUUAAGCUGUCAAAUAAAAAAUACAUCAAACGAGAGAUCAAUCGUAUAUGUAAUUAUGUAAUUACGUUUCACACGGAAUAUUCUCUACAGUCUGAAUUGAGUUAUACUUAGACGCCGCUCGAAACCAUUUAUGCAGUCAUUAAGGCAUCAUUAAUCUUGACUCCGUUAUACGCGACAAGUCAUUGUUAGGAACAGGUGCUACUUCCUAGAUGGACGGGAUUGUUAGCCGAAUGAAUGAAAUAUAAAGAAAUCGACGGUAAAAAUCUCGGCUAGAAACGAGCCGUGACUAGUAAUUAGCAAAUGUAUCGAGAAAAAUGUAAUUUUAAUGAAGAAAUGAGAAAUACAAGCUUCUGUUUUUAUUAAAGAUGAAAUAAUAUUUACAAUUAUAUAUGGAAAUAGUUAUUAUCGUAGAUUAUAUCCACUUAAUUCUACAAAUUUUUCCAAUUACAUCUCGAUUAAUAUAUUUUGUAAAGAAUCGUUAGAUAUUUAGAUCUAUGAUAUAAGAUAAUUAAUGUACGAUAUAAGAUUGUCAAAAUGAAUGUAAAUAAAUGCAAAUAAAUGCAAAUGUUAUUGAAGCAA